RNAcentral lists this ribosomal RNA (252 nucleotides) under uncultured microorganism. RNAcentral describes it as "partial 16S ribosomal RNA". It matches the Rfam family "Bacterial small subunit ribosomal RNA", at positions 524 to 776 of the family's 1533-position model. The record is from RNAcentral.
UACGGAGGGUGCGAGCGUUGUCCGGAUUUAUUGGGCGUAAAGCGAGCGCAGGUGGUUUAAUAAGUCUGAUGUAAAAGGCAGUGGCUCAACCAUUGUGUGCAUUGGAAACUGUUAGACUUGAGUGCAGUAGAGGAGAGUGGAAUUCCAUGUGUAGCGGUGAAAUGCGUAGAUAUAUGGAGGAACACCGGUGGCGAAAGCGGCUCUCUGGACUGUAACUGACACUGAGGCUCGAAAGCGUGGGUAGCAAACAGG